UACGUAGGUGGCAAGCGUUGUCCGGAAUUAUUGGGCGUAAAGCGCGCGCAGGCGGCCUUUUAAGUCUGAUGUGAAAGCCCACGGCUCAACCGUGGAAGGUCAUUGGAAACUGAAAGGCUUGAGUACAGAAGAGGAAAGCGGAAUUCCACGUGUAGCGGUGAAAUGCGUAGAGGUGUGGAGGAACACCAGUGGCGAAGGCGGCUCUCUGGACGGUGACUGACGCUGAGACGCGAAAGCGUGGGGAGCAAACAGG
RNAcentral lists this ribosomal RNA (253 nucleotides) under uncultured bacterium. RNAcentral's name for it is "partial 16S ribosomal RNA". It matches the Rfam family "Bacterial small subunit ribosomal RNA", at positions 524 to 776 of the family's 1533-position model. The record is from RNAcentral.